GCCUUACCUCUAUCAAGAAUCAGCAAUUGCCAAAACCAAACCAAAAUAUAUCUCCCGGUUAUCUACCGGUUCGAUAUGCUUGAGAGGGAACCGGACAGGACCUGCCUAAACCAGACCAAUAAACAACACAAGGGAACCGAAACCUGUCUUUAACUGGCACAUGCAUGACAAAAGCAAUGAGAAAGUAGUUUCCAAGUUCUAAGUAGUUUCAGAAGGAGAAGGUGGACAAAAAUCAAACAAACUCCAAGCAUGUGUCAGAAACGGCGAAUUCCGAGCCGAGGAAGAGGGAGCCGGAAUCCGAGGAUCAGCAGAUCUUUGCGUUCGAGAAGUCCAUAGCCUAUACGUGUUACAAAAUUAUAAUGUGCCUGAUAAUGUUCAAUUUUCCGGUUCGAGAGAUUGCUGCUUUGCCUGAUAAUGUGUCGUUGUUUAUCUCAGGGUAAAAGACCCUUGCGAGUUAUCGUCUAUUUUGUGAUGAAAAUGUGGGACUCAUAAGCCAACUUUACCCGUUCAAGGAACUCGAUCCUGUAGAAGCUCUUGCAUCCAACGUAACUAGGGAUUUCGCCGAUCAAAUCGCUGAAACUCGCAGACAAGAUCUGUAAAUUUGGCGCGUUCUAUAUGUUCUCCGAUAACCUGCUGUGGAAGGAAUUGCUAGAGAGAUUCAAUUACCUGCUGUGGUGAUUGUCUCACCCGUGCCGCCAAGGCGGCUCAAACACGGUGGAAAAUAACAAUACUUUUCAGCCUUGUUUUCCGAUGGGGAGGGAGAACAGUAGCUGCAGCGUCGACAAUCUGACAUGGCGUGCGGAAGCGGAAAUCGCCGGCAACGACACGGCUCUUAAAGCUCUCCGGGAACUCAUCGUCUACCCCUUUCUCUAUCCUCAUGAAGCCCGAAAGCUCGGUCUCCAAUGGUCUAGAGGGUUGCUCUUGUAUGGCCCUCCUGGAACCGGGAAGACAAGCUUGGUGCGUGCUGUUGUGCAGUAAUGUGAUGCACAUCUGAUUGUUCUAAGCCUCAAUCUGUGCUUAGAGCCCAUGCUGGUGAAAGUGAGAAAGUGUUAAGGGACGCUUUUGCAGAGGGAAAAUCACUCAAAUGACCCACUUGGGCAAGCCAUCCCCUCUGUCCUCGUCGUAAUUCUAGGCGAGACCAGGAUGCUCGUGUCACUUCUCAGCUCUUGAUACUAAUGGACUCGAACAAGCCUCCAUCAUCUGCACCCGGAGUUGUUGUUGUUGCAUCCACAAACAGGGUAGAAGCCAUUGACCCUGUUCUAAGAAGGUUUGGACGGUUUGAUGCUGAAAUUGAAGUGAGCACGCCAAAUGAGAAGGAUCGUCUAAAAAUUCUGGAGGUAUUUCCAUGUUUCUUCAUUUGUACCUCUUCCAAGUUUGUCUUGUUGUCUUGCAGUUAAUUGUGGGAAAGGGGAAAAUUCUGAGAGUAACCGAACGUUACCGUGGAACAAAAGAAUGAAGAAUCCGGACAUCAACCAAAACUGAUCUACAGUUGCGGUUUGUUUGGCCGGCUUCACAUCAGGAAGAAUCUUCAUGGCCUCCACUGUAAUUCCUAGAGACACUCGGGACCCUAUCCUCGUAUCCGCAUCCACCAUUCCUUUCCUCGAGCCCUGACUCAUCCACGACACCUUCAACACUUCCAACAUCCUUAGUCUCUGGUUUGGAUGCGGCUGCGUGCAGAGCACAGCCAGCUCCACCGCCUUCUCCAUCACCGUCCCCUCGAACCCCCCCCUUCAGAUCCCUGUCCACCAUCUCUUCCAGUCUUUCCUCCACUCCUCUUUUGCCUUCUCCACCUCCAAUGGGCUCCGCAUUAGGAAACACCCACCGGCUUCUCCUCCGCCUUCCUCAGCCACUGAUCCGCCGUGUCUUUCCCGAGAAAAUCGCUCUCUUUCCCGAGAAAUUCGACAACUUUCUCUAGAAAACCCUAGCGGGUUCGACGGAUCGAAGCCCGCACUGAACGAAGACGUCGAGGGUCUUCUGCUGCUGCUGCUGCUUUCCUCCGGCAACUGACAGGGAAUCGCCAUGGUUUUUUCUUUUUCUAUCAAGACACGCAACGUUGAAACCGUACUCGGAUGCGGAAUCGCUUGAGAUCUUAUACAAGAAAUGCUCUAAAUCUCUAUUUGGAGAAGAUAAAAUCGAAAUGGUCCCAAAUAAGUUCAAGAACGAGGGAUCUUAAACCCUCUUUUUUUUUCUUUUUUUUUUUUUUUAUGUUGGGGUUGUUUUCUCCUGAAUCCAGUCGGAUGCUUUUAGUUCUUGUUGGCUGUUGGAAUAUGUGCCAAGAGUGAAACCUCCACUUCUUUCAGAGGGUUUGCUCUAAUAUGUUUAGUUUCCGGCUUCAAUAUUAAAAACUGUAUAUUUUAGGUUUCUAGAAAGAACAUUUGUUUUAUUUUU
Tarenaya hassleriana is the source of this 2388-nucleotide long non-coding RNA. RefSeq lists it as uncharacterized. The transcript is spliced from 7 exons. NCBI's taxonomy places the organism in Eukaryota, Viridiplantae, Streptophyta, Magnoliopsida, Brassicales, Cleomaceae. The record is from RefSeq and is a predicted model, not a curated record.